This is a long non-coding RNA of Gorilla gorilla gorilla (western lowland gorilla), 358 nucleotides long. RefSeq lists it as uncharacterized. The transcript has 3 exons. Lineage: Eukaryota; Metazoa; Chordata; Mammalia; Primates; Hominidae. The record is from RefSeq and is a predicted model, not a curated record.
UUUCCCCCUUGGAAUGCUGCUGCCAUCACCACGUGGAAAAGCCCGAUCCGGCCUUCCUGAGGCGGAGUAAUCACAGGGAGAGAGAGGCCCAGCUGGCCCACUAGCUGAAUGUAGCCAAUGAGGGAGCCCAAGCAAGAUCAGCAGAACUAUGCGGCCAAAGCGGAGAAACCUCCCCUUGCUUAAGCAUCAUCUGAAUCCAGCCCCAUGUACUCUUCUGAAGCUCCUGUUGGACUGUAGACAUGAUGGCUGGAAUUUAAACAGCUAUAAAGGACCGAAAGGUAGAAGCCACAUGUUGAGAAUGGAAGAAAUUAAUUAGGUCCCUGAUGGUCACAGAAUCACCAUACUAAUCUAGACUGCC